GACGAACGCUGGCGGCGUGCUUAACACAUGCAAGUCGAACGGUGACGAGGAGCUUGCUCCUCCGAUCAGUGGCGAACGGGUGAGUAACACGUGAGCAACCUGCCCCUCACUCUGGGAUAACAGUUGGAAACAGCUGCUAAUACCGGAUACGACACAGACAGGCAUCUGUACUGUGUGGAAAGUUUUUCGGUGAGGGAUGGGCUCGCGGCCUAUCAGUUUGUUGGUGGGGUAAUGGCCUACCAAGACGACGACGGGUAGCCGGCCUGAGAGGGCGACCGGCCAACACUGGGACUGAGACACGGCCCAGACUCCUACGGGAGGCAGCAGUGGGGAAUAUUGGACAAUGGGCGAAAGCCUGAUCCAGCAAUGCCGCGUGAGUGAUGAAGGCCCUAGGGUUGUAAAGCACUUUUGGCGGGAACGAAACGGCGCUUUCUAAUACAGAGUGCUAAUGACGGUACCCGCAGAAUAAGCACCGGCUAACUACGUGCCAGCAGCCG
This 497-nucleotide ribosomal RNA is filed under the name uncultured bacterium. Its description in RNAcentral is "bacterial SSU rRNA". It matches the Rfam family "Bacterial small subunit ribosomal RNA", at positions 28 to 517 of the family's 1533-position model. The record is from RNAcentral.